RNAcentral lists this ribosomal RNA (460 nucleotides) under uncultured bacterium. RNAcentral's name for it is "partial 16S ribosomal RNA". It matches the Rfam family "Bacterial small subunit ribosomal RNA", at positions 338 to 795 of the family's 1533-position model. The record is from RNAcentral.
CCUACGGGAGGCAGCAGUGAGGAAUAUUGGUCAAUGGGCGCGAGCCUGAACCAGCCAAGUAGCGUGAAGGAUGACUGCCCUACGGGUUGUAAACUUCUUUUAUAAAGGAAUAAAGUGAGGCACGUGUGCCUUUUUGUAUGUACUUUAUGCAUAAGGAUCGGCUAACUCCGUGCCGGCAGCCGCGGUACUACGGAGGAUCCGAGCGUUAUCCGGAUUGAGUGGGUUUAAAGGGAGCGUAGAUGGGUUGUUAAGUCAGUUGUGAAAGUUUGCGGCUCAACCGUAAAAUUGCAAUUGAUACUGGCAGACUUGAGUACAGGUGAGGUAGGCGGAAUUCGUGGUGUAGCGGUGAAAUGCUUAGAUAUCACGAAGAACACCGAUGGCGAAGGCAGCCUACUAGACUGCCACUGACAUUGAUGCUCGAAAGUGUGGGUAUCAAACAGGAUUAGAUACCCGAGUAGUC